Long non-coding RNA from Erinaceus europaeus (western European hedgehog), 152 nucleotides. RefSeq lists it as uncharacterized. NCBI's taxonomy places the organism in Eukaryota, Metazoa, Chordata, Mammalia, Eulipotyphla, Erinaceidae. The transcript has 3 exons. The record is from RefSeq and is a predicted model, not a curated record.
GUCUGACAUAGCACUUCACAUGUGUUCAAUAUAGAGACCACAACACCAGAAAUUCCUCAGUCUUGAAGCUCACACCCUUGCUGCCAGAAAAGAAAAUCAUGUUUAUCUCCUUUCUGUUAUUGCCGUGAGCCAACAAACUUGUGAUAAAGGAC